UACAGGACGAACGCUGGCGGCACGCCUAACACAUGCAAGUCGAACGGAGAUAUUUGGUUACUGAGAUAUCUUAGUGGCGGACGGGUGAGUAACACGUGAGCAACCUGCCUCUGAGAGAGGGAUAGCUUCUGGAAACGGAUGGUAAUACCUCAUGACAUAACGAAGCCGCAUGACUUUGUUAUCAAAGAUUUAUCACUCAGAGAUGGGCUCGCGUCUGAUUAGAUAGUUGGUGAGGUAACGGCUCACCCAAGUCGACGAUCAGUAGCCGGACUGAGAGGUUGAACGGCCACAUUGGGACUGAGACACGGCCCAGACUCCUACGGGAGGCAGCAGUGGGGAAUAUUGCACAAUGGGGGAAACCCUGAUGCAGCGAUGCCGCGUGGAGGAAGAAGGUUUUCGGAUUGUAAACUCCUGUCUUAAAGGACGAUAAUGACGGUACUUUAGGAGGAAGCUCCGGCUAACUACGUGCCAGCCGCCGC
This 479-nucleotide ribosomal RNA is filed under the name uncultured bacterium. RNAcentral describes it as "bacterial SSU rRNA". It matches the Rfam family "Bacterial small subunit ribosomal RNA", at positions 26 to 518 of the family's 1533-position model. The record is from RNAcentral.